This 482-nucleotide ribosomal RNA is filed under the name uncultured bacterium. RNAcentral's name for it is "bacterial SSU rRNA". It matches the Rfam family "Bacterial small subunit ribosomal RNA", at positions 29 to 506 of the family's 1533-position model. The record is from RNAcentral.
UUGAACGCUGGCGGAAUGCUUUACACAUGCAAGUCGAGCGGCAGCGCGGGGGCAACCCUGGCGGCGAGCGGCGAACGGGUGAGUAAUACAUCGGAACGUACCCAGUUGUGGGGGAUAGCCCGGCGAAAGCCGGAUUAAUACCGCAUAAGUCCUGAGGGAGAAAGCGGGGGAUCGCAAGACCUCGCGCGACAGGAGCGGCCGAUAUCGGAUUAGCUAGUUGGUGAGGUAAAGGCUCACCAAGGCGACGAUCCGUAGCUGGUCUGAGAGGACGACCAGCCACACUGGAACUGAGACACGGUCCAGACUCCUACGGGAGGCAGCAGUGGGGAAUUUUGGACAAUGGGGGCAACCCUGAUCCAGCCAUUCCGCGUGAGUGAAGAAGGCCUUCGGGUUGUAAAGCUCUUUCAGCCGGAAAGAAAUCGCGCAGGCUAAUACUCUGCGUGGAUGACGGUACCGGAAGAAGAAGCACCGGCUAACUACGU